UACGUAGGGUGCAAGCGUUGUCCGGAAUUAUUGGGCGUAAAGAGCUCGUAGGCGGUUCGUCGCGUCGGCUGUGAAAACCUGAGGCUCAACCUCAGGCCUGCAGUCGAUACGGGCGGACUUGAGUACUGCAGGGGAGACUGGAAUUCCUGGUGUAGCGGUGAAAUGCGCAGAUAUCGGGAGGAACACCGGUGGCGAAGGCGGUUCUCUGGGCCUUACCUGACGCUGAGGAGCGAAAGCGUGGGGAGCGAACAGG
Molecule: ribosomal RNA, 253 nt
Filed under: uncultured bacterium
Lineage: Bacteria
Description: partial 16S ribosomal RNA
Rfam family: Bacterial small subunit ribosomal RNA
Source: RNAcentral